CGUUUAUUUGAUAGUACCUUACUACUUGGAUAACCGUGGUAAUUCUAGAGCUAAUACAUGCUAAAAACCCCGACUUCGGGAGGGGUGUAUUUAUUAGAUAAAAAACCAACGCCUUUCGGGGCUCCUUGGUGAAUCAUAAUAACUUAACGGAUCGCAUGGCCUUGCGCCGGCGACGGUUCAUUCAAAUUUCUGCCCUAUCAACUUUCGAUUGUAGGGUAUUGGCCUACAAUGGUAUCAACGGGUAACGGGGAAUUAGGGUUCGAUUCCGGAGAGGGAGCCUGAGAAACGGCUACCACAUCCAAGGAAGGCAGCAGGCGCGCAAAUUACCCAAUCCCGACACGGGGAGGUAGUGACAAUAAAUACUGAUACAGGGCUCUUUUGGGUCUUGUAAUUGGAAUGAGUACAAUUUAAAUCCCUUAACGAGGAACAAUUGGAGGGCAAGUCUGGUGCCAGCAGCCGCGGUAAUUCCAGCUCCAAUAGCGUAUAUUAAAGUUGUUGCAGUUAAAAAGCUCGUAGUUGAACCUUGGGUCUGGCUGGCCGGUCCGCCUCACCGCGUGCACUGGUCCGGCCGGACCUUUCCUUCUGGAGAACCGCAUGCCCUUCACUGGGUGUGUCGGGGAACCAGGACUUUUACUUUGAAAAAAUUAGAGUGUUCAAAGCAGGCCUUUGCUCGAAUACAUUAGCAUGGAAUAAUAGAAUAGGACGUGCGGUCCUAUUUUGUUGGUUUCUAGGACCGCCGUAAUGAUUAAUAGGGAUAGUCGGGGGCAUCAGUAUUCAAUUGUCAGAGGUGAAAUUCUUAGAUUUAUUGAAGACUAACUACUGCGAAAGCAUUUGCCAAGGAUGUUUUCAUUAAUCAGUGAACGAAAGUUAGGGGAUCGAAGACGAUCAGAUACCGUCGUAGUCUUAACCGUAAACUAUGCCGACUAGGGAUCGGGCGAUGUUAUUCUUUUGACUCGCUCGGCACCUUACGAGAAAUCAAAGUUUU
RNAcentral lists this ribosomal RNA (985 nucleotides) under Rhytidhysteron tectonae. RNAcentral describes it as "SSU rRNA". It matches the Rfam family "Eukaryotic small subunit ribosomal RNA", at positions 114 to 1107 of the family's 1831-position model. The record is from RNAcentral. Lineage: Eukaryota; Fungi; Ascomycota; Dothideomycetes; Hysteriales; Hysteriaceae.